Molecule: ribosomal RNA, 244 nt
Filed under: uncultured bacterium
Lineage: Bacteria
Description: partial 16S ribosomal RNA
Rfam family: Bacterial small subunit ribosomal RNA
Source: RNAcentral
UGACGGAGCGGCGAACGGGUGAGUAACACGUGGGCAACCUGCCCCUAGCUCUGGGAUAAGCCCGGGAAACCGGGUCUAAUACCGGAUAUGAGUUCGGAAGGCAUCUUCUGACCUGGAAAGUUUUUCGGCUAGGGAUGGGCCCGCGGCCUAUCAGCUUGUUGGUGAGGUAACGGCCCACCAAGGCGACGACGGGUAGCCGGCCUGAGAGGGCGACCGGCCACACUGGGACUGAGACACGGCCCAG